RNAcentral lists this unclassified non-coding RNA (18 nucleotides) under Chlamydomonas reinhardtii. RNAcentral describes it as "small RNA Cre_2158". The record is from RNAcentral. Lineage: Eukaryota; Viridiplantae; Chlorophyta; Chlorophyceae; Chlamydomonadales; Chlamydomonadaceae.
UAAUAGUUAGUAGGAAGG